CCAGGUCAAAGUCCAGCCCAUUGUGAACUCUGUACUACAUUUCAGUUUUCCGGCCUACAGUUAGCCGGAGGAGAAGACGUAGAAAUAGUUGCUUGAUUUUCUGGUCCGACCGCUCACGGUUGAGAUGGACUACGAGAACAAGCUCGUCCUUGCUCCCAUGGUUCGCGUAGGGACUUUGCCGUUUAGAUUAUUAGCUGCACAAUACGGUGCAGACAUCACCUAUGGAGAGGAAAUUAUUGACCAUAAGAUGAUCAAAUGCGAGCGUAGGAUAAAUGAGCACGUUGGUGCAGUCGAUUUCGUAGAAAAGGGGACAGACAAUGUUGUUUUCAGGACUUGCAGCCUAGAAAAAAAUGAAGUUGUUUUUCAAAUGGGUACUUCUAAUGCUGUGAGGGCUUUAAGUGCUGCUCAACUAGUGUGUCAAGACGUUGCUGCAAUAGAUAUCAAUAUGGGUUGCCCUAAGUCAUUUUCCAUCAGUGGGGGCAUGGGUGCUGCACUGUUGAAGAAGCCAGACCUUAUUCAUGAUAUUUUGACAACAUUGAGGAGGAACUUGGACAUUCCAAUUACCUGUAAGAUUCGACUUUUAAAUUCAUCUCAGGAUACAGUGGAGUUAGCUAGGCGGAUAGAGACUACUGGCGUUUCAGCUCUUGCUGUUCAUGGAAGAAGAGUUGCAGAUAGGCCCAGAGAUCCAGCUAAGUGGAGUGAGAUUGCAGAUGUCGUGGCAGCAUUGUCUGUCCCGGUUAUUGCGAACGGUGAUAUCUUUGAGUACGAAGAUUUUCACCAUAUCAAAGUUGCUACAGGUGCUUCGUCAGUAAUGGUUGCUCGAGGAGCGCUUUGGAACGCUUCAAUCUUCUCUGCAGAUGGCAAAUUACCAUGGGAAGAGGUGAAAAGAGAAUAUGUUAGAAAGGUGAGAGCAUCUUGUGGGACAAUGAUAUCAAAAGUACAAAGCACACGCUAAAAGAAAUGAUAAUGCAUUAUUCUUGCCUUGAACUGCCAGAAGGAAAGGCCGUGAUAAAAUCUGAUACAUUGGCAGAUCUAGCGAAACUUUAUGGCGAGGAAAAGUACAAUCAAUUUGUUCAAGAGAAGCGUUUGUUCGAUGGAAGUAGAUGACGUCGUUCGUAGUUCGGAUCAGAGACGCUGUUCAUUGCUUCGACAUGGAACAACCUCGGUACUCUCUCAGUUAAACCCGUUCUAUUAGUUAUGGAGAAGUUGGAUGUGCUCUACAGCAGCUCAAUACUAACAUAUUUCUUACCCUUUCAUUCUUGUCGUGUUAAAAACACAGAGUUAUUAAGCUGCCGCAGAUGAUGCCUGGCUUUAUUUGCUUUUCUGGAAUGCGUAUUUAUGGUUCUAGGAUGUUCCAAGUUGAAAGCUUUGGCUUAUUGUUGCCAAAUUCAUCCAGUUCGUUGAUUUCAGUACCCAUCAAUCAAUCAAUCAAUGGGUUAA
This is an RNA transcript of Cucurbita moschata (crookneck pumpkin), 1440 nucleotides long. It is a transcript of the gene named tRNA-dihydrouridine(20) synthase [NAD(P)+]-like, with no coding region annotated. The record is from RefSeq and is a predicted model, not a curated record. NCBI's taxonomy places the organism in Eukaryota, Viridiplantae, Streptophyta, Magnoliopsida, Cucurbitales, Cucurbitaceae. The transcript is spliced from 9 exons.